AGUCUGGUAACUCAAUGGUAGAGUGAUAUGUUGAUAACGUAUAAGUUAGAGGUUCGAGCCCUCUUCAGACUA
Non-coding RNA from Absidia glauca, 72 nucleotides. NCBI's taxonomy places the organism in Eukaryota, Fungi, Mucoromycota, Mucoromycetes, Mucorales, Cunninghamellaceae. The record is from Rfam.